UUUCCCCAAUGGGCGCAAGCCUGAGGGAGCAACGCCGCGUGGAGGAUGACGGCUUUCGGGUUGUAAACUCCUUUUGGGGGGGACGAUAGUGACGGUACCCCCCGAAUAAGCCCCGGCCAACUCUGUGCCAGCAGCCGCGGUAAGACAGAGGGGGCAAGCGUUGUCCGGACUGACUGGGCGUAAAGCGCGCGCAGGCGGUCUGAGGCGUCGGUGCUGAAAGUCCACCGCUUAACGGUGGGAAGCGCGCCGAUACGCUCAGACUGGAGGGCGGGCGAGGGUGGUGGAAUUGCCGGUGUAGUGGUGAAAUGCGUAGAGAUCGGCAGGAACACCAGUGGCGAAGGCGGCCACCUAGCCCGCACCUGACGCUGAGGCGCGACAGCGUGGGGAGCGAAC
This 393-nucleotide ribosomal RNA is filed under the name uncultured bacterium. Its description in RNAcentral is "bacterial SSU rRNA". It matches the Rfam family "Bacterial small subunit ribosomal RNA", at positions 363 to 773 of the family's 1533-position model. The record is from RNAcentral.